CUUAUAUUAGAUUGUAGACUUUUGCAGUUUCAUACCUUAAUUUGUAUUAAGAUUAAACAAUGUUAAAUAUUGUUGGUUAUCAAAAUGCUUAGUUGCAGGACUUGUUCUUAAGCAUGGUAUCUAUCUUUUAUUCCUUCUUUGUCUGUUUGAUGUUGGUCUGAACUUAGACUGCAUUUCUCCCUGUUUUCAACCAUGUUGAGGUCUAUAUUUUCUAUUUGUUGGUGCAG
This is a long non-coding RNA of Telopea speciosissima, 227 nucleotides long. RefSeq lists it as uncharacterized. The transcript is spliced from 3 exons. Lineage: Eukaryota; Viridiplantae; Streptophyta; Magnoliopsida; Proteales; Proteaceae. The record is from RefSeq and is a predicted model, not a curated record.